Molecule: ribosomal RNA, 338 nt
Filed under: Clostridioides difficile Y384
Lineage: Bacteria; Bacillati; Bacillota; Clostridia; Peptostreptococcales; Peptostreptococcaceae
Description: partial 16S ribosomal RNA
Source: RNAcentral
ACAAGAAGCUGCCCGUAAGUUAAACUUUCGAACAAGAAAAACCAUGAUGGUAGCACAGCAAUUAUAUGAAGGAAUCACUUUGGGUAAACAAGGAACAGUCGGCUUGAUUACAUACAUGCGUACUGAUUCUACCCGGAUUGCCGAUACAGCAAAAGCAGAGGCCGCAGCAUUUAUUGAAGAUACGUAUGGAAAAGAAUUUUCUAGACAUGAUCACCGAAAGAUCAAAAAUGCUCAAGGCGCACAAGAUGCCCAUGAAGCUGUGCGUCCAACGAGUGUGCUUCGUACACCAGAUGAACUCAAACAAUAUUUAGAUAAAGAUCAAUUGAAACUUUAUACAU